UCUACGGGAGGCAGCAGUGAGGAAUAUUGGUCAAUGGUCGGGAGACUGAACCAGCCAAGCCGCGUGAGGGAGGAAGGUACAGAGUAUCGUAAACCUCUUUUGUCAGGGAACAAAGACUGGGACGCGUCCCCGGAUGAGUGUACCUGAAGAAAAAGCAUCGGCUAACUCCGUGCCAGCAGCCGCGGUAAUACGUAGGUGGCGAGCGUUAUCCGGAAUCAUUGGGCGUAAAGAGGGAGCAGGCGGCAUGGAGGGUCUAUUGUGAAAAGGCAAUGGCUUAACCAUUGUAAGGCGAAGAAACUGGCAGGCUAGAGUUCUAAAGAGGUUCGUGGAAUUCGAGGUGUAGCGGUGAAAUGCGUAGAUAUAUGGAGGAACACCAGUGGCGAAGGCGACGAUCUGGGAAGAAACAGACGCUGAGUCCCGAAAGCGUGGGGAGCAAAUAGGAUUAGAUACCCUUGUAGUC
Molecule: ribosomal RNA, 460 nt
Filed under: uncultured bacterium
Lineage: Bacteria
Description: partial 16S ribosomal RNA
Rfam family: Bacterial small subunit ribosomal RNA
Source: RNAcentral